This is a long non-coding RNA of Oncorhynchus keta (chum salmon), 4498 nucleotides long. RefSeq lists it as uncharacterized. The record is from RefSeq and is a predicted model, not a curated record. Lineage: Eukaryota; Metazoa; Chordata; Actinopteri; Salmoniformes; Salmonidae. The transcript is spliced from 8 exons.
GAAAAUGGCUAAUUGGGUCCAAUUUUGACAUUUUCACUUAGGGGUGUACUCACUUUUGUUGCCAGCGGUUUAGACAUUAAUGGCUGUGCGUUGAGUUGUUUUGAGGGGACAGCAAAUUUACACUGUUAUACAGGCUGUACACUCACUACUUUACAUUGUAGCAAAGUGUCAUUUCUUCAGUGUUGUCACAUGAAAAGAUAUACUCAAAUAUUUACAAAAAUGUGAGGGGUGUACUCACUUUUGUGAUAUACUGUAUAAUAUACUGUAUGUACCUCCUUCCUGCUACAUUUACAGUCCUAAAGCAAUAUGUUCUGUAUAGUUUUAAACAAUGGCUGUUACAUUAUAACUAGUGACAUAUCUUGUCAUUGAAGUGAUUUCUAGUUCAUCUGUUGUUGACACCAGAGAGACAAUAGUCUUAUUCAAUAUCCUGGUAAUAUUCCAUCCAGAUAGUGGACCAGUGACAUGUUACUGGACCAGCAUCAAGUGUAGAUUAAUUAUGGAGCUGUGACACUUCAUUUAUACAUGGGAAGACUACAUCUCACUGGGCAAAACAUCAAGUGAUUGAUGGAUAAAACUCUGCGAUUAAUUGGGUGAUCUAAUUUCUCCCGCACUGAAAUGGAAGUCCGGGCCGAUCCCAGAUCAGGCUGAGCAAGUCAAAACUUUGCCAUGCGAGGGCGGAGGCACAAAGGGAGCUGUAAAACACCAGAGUGGAGAAUACACUGAAGUCAAUAGCCCGCACUGACUGAAACUUUAGAUUGAUUUAUAAAGGGAUUCUGUGACUCUGACCGACGCUUGAAUGUGCACUUUAAAAGGCGGGGCAAUAGCUGAGAUCCUAUAUGACAUUUCAAGCACUAUGGGACGCUUUCCCAGACACAGAUUAGGUCUAGUAAUGGACUAACAAUACAUCUCAACAGAGAAUCUCCAUUGAAAGUUAUUUUUUGUCCAGGACUAUAUAGGCUUAAUCAGUGUCUGGGAAAAAGGCCCUACGUGGUGCUAAAUGUACAGUAACAGUCAACACCAACCCCUCAUUCUGCAAUGAGGAAACAAGAAAUUGUUACUAUGUAUUUUCAUAUACACGUAAAAAGAGGGAUGGAUAUCACUCCUCCAGCUUGCAGGGGCAGUAUUCUUUCCUUCUCUGCCAGACUGGUCAGCAGCAUGAGAGACAGAGUUCAUGUGUUGUCAUGUGUUGCUGCCAUGCUGUGUUGUUGUCUUAGGUCUCUCUUUAUGUAGUGUUGUGGUGUCUUAGGUCUCUCUUUAUGAAAUAUUGUGGUGUCUUAGGUCUCUCUUGGUGUAGUGUUGUGGUGUCUUAGGUCUCUCUUUAUGUAGUGUUGUGGUGUCUUAGGUCUCUCUUUAUGUAGUGUUGUGGUGUCUUAGGUCUCUCUUUAUGUAGUGUUGUGGUGUCUUAGGUCUCUCUUUAUGUAGUGUUGUGGUGUCUUAGGUCUCUCUUUAUGUAGUGUUGUGGUGUCUUAGGUCUCUCUUUAUGUAGUGUUGUGGUGUCUUAGGUCUCUCUUUAUGUAGUGUUGUGGUGUCUUAGCUCUCUCUUUAUGUAGUGUUGUGGUGUCUUAGGUCUCUCUUUAUGUAGUGUUGUGGUGUCUUAGGUCUCUCUUUAUUAAGUGUUGUGGUGUCUUAGGUCUCUCUUUAUGUAGUGUUGUGGUGUCUUAGGUCUCUCUUUAUUAAGUGUUGUGGUGUCUUAGGUCUCUCUUUAUGUAGUGUUGUGGUGUCUUAGGUCUCUCUUUAUGAAGUGUUGUGGUGUCUUAGGUCUCUCUUUAUGAAGUGUUGUGGUGUCUUAGGUCUCUCUUUAUGAAGUUUUGUGCUGUCUUAGGACUCUCUUUAUGAAGUUUUGUGGUGUCUUAGGUCUCUCUUUAUGAAGUGUUGUGGUGUCUUAGGUCUCUUUAUGUAGUGUUGUGGUGUCUUAGGUCUCUCUUUAUGUAGUGUUGUGGUGUCUUAGGUCUCUCUUUAUGUAGUGUUGUGGUGUCUUAGGUCUCUCUUUAUGUAGUGUUGUGGUGUCUUAGGUCUCUCUUUAUGUAGUGUUGUGGUGUCUUAGGUCUCUCUUUAUGAAGUGUUGUGGUGUCUUAGGUCUCUCUUUAUGAAGUGUUGUGGUGUCUUAGGUCUCUCUUUAUGAAGUGUUGUGGUGUCUUAGGUCUCUCUUUAUGUAGUGUUGUGGUGUCUUAGGUCUCUCUUUAUUAAGUGUUGUGGUGUCUUAGGUCUCUCUUUAUGUAGUGUUGUGGUGUCUUAGGUCUCUCUUUAUGAAGUGUUGUGGUGUCUUAGGUCUCUUUUUAUGAAAUGUUGUGGUGUCUUAGGUCUCUCUUUAUGAAGUGUUGUGGUGUCUUAGGUCUCUUUUUAUGAAAUGUUGUGGUGUCUUAGGUCUCUCUUUAUGAAGUGUUGUGGUGUCUUAGGUCUCUUUAUGUAGUGUUGUGGUGUCUUAGGUCUCUCUUUAUGUAGUGUUGUGGUGUCUUAGCUCUCUCUUUAUGUAGUGUUGUGGUGUCUUAGGUCUCUCUUUAUGUAGUGUUGUGGUGUCUUAGGUCUCUCUUUAUUAAGUGUUGUGGUGUCUUAGGUCUCUCUUUAUGUAGUGUUGUGGUGUCUUAGGUCUCUCUUUAUGUAGUGUUGUGGUGUCUUAGGUCUCUCUUUAUGAAGUGUUGUGGUGUCUUAGGUCUCUUUUUAUGAAAUGUUGUGGUGUCUUAGGUCUCUCUUUAUGAAGUGUUGUGGUGUCUUAGGUCUCUCUUUAUGAAGUGUUGUGGUGUCUUAGGUCUCUCUUUAUGAAGUGUUGUGGUGUCUUAGGUCUCUCUUUAUGAAAUGUUGUUGUGUCUUAGGUCUCUCUUUAUGAAAUGUUGUGGUGUCUUAGGUCUCUCUUUAUGAAGUGUUGUGGUGUCUUAGGUCUCUCUUUAUGAUGUUUUGUGCUGUCUUAGGUCUCUCUUUAUGAAGUUUUGUGGUGUCUUAGGUCUCUCUUUAUGAAAUGUUGUUGUGUCUUAGGUCUCUCUUUAUGAAAUGUUGUUGUGUCUCUUGUUGUGAUGUGUGUUUUGUACUACAGUUUUAUUUUUUAUUCCAGCGCCAGUCCCAGUAGAAAGCCUUUUGUCUCUUGGUAGGCCAGCAUUGUAAAUCAGAAUUUGUUCUUAACAGACUUGCCUAGUUUUAAAUAAAAGUUCAUAAAAAAAUAAUAAAACCAAUCCCAGCGUUCAGAUCAAUUAGGUGGCCAUUCAAUGUGACGUAACCCAACACAAAGAAGUCCUGUUUUCCGGGUGAGGUUAAAGCACGGGUGAGCAGGCAGUAACACAAGGAGGACACCAAAUCCAGUCCAGUUAUCUGGCUCGUGUCCGACUGUUUCCUAGGAGAAGAGAGGAGGAACAUAGAGGAGACAUUUAGUGUUUAUUCCUCACUAUUAACAUUAAAACAUUUUCAUCAUAGGCAGAGCUAGAACCACAGUGUGUGGUUGAACAUAGAUACUAAUCUGCCAUCCUGAGCUUCCAAAGUCAUGACAGUUCUCUGAUGUGACAGGCUAGAGAGACUACUGUCAGUCUGGAUUUCCACCACAGGCCAGGAUGUCUGCCUAUUUAGUCAUUGACAGGUCCACACUUCCUGGGACAAUUCCUCUGAUUCACUUCCUUGCUUCAAUAAAGAAACAGGUUGCUCAAUUUAUUACAAAAAACAAACAGAUUAAUCUGUUUAAAUAAUCAGUUUCCUUUUCAAUCAGUUUCCUUCAAUCACCAGUCACCACCAUAGACAGGGAGAUCUGCUUCAUAGGAAACACUUUCAUCAUGUCUCAUUUGAACGUGUACAAAUGAAUGCCACGUUUACACCAUAAUCUUCUGUCAUUCAGGAAGUUCAAACAGAAUUGAUUGACUCAACCCUUCAUCUAACGGUCUGGGCCUUUAGAGUAACACCAUGUAGGUUAUUGUUGUACAGUAAUAGUUACUUUGUGGUUUCCUUUCACUAGACAUGUUGAAGCCAGGCAGGUAGUGUUGCCUGUACCUGGUGAGCUGUUCUCCAAGAUGGCGCUGGCUCUGACUUUCUUUACUCAUUACUGGGAGCAGUGUGAUGAUGGAGGUAAUGGCUGUAACAUGCACUCACCUCUCUGGGACGGCACAGAUCGUCACGUGUGAGAUGUCAACAUGCCUGGCUAUCACUCUCUUAGUAUCAUACAGGAAGAGACAGUGAAAUAUUGUCUAUAUAUUUAGGUCUGAGCUUACAUGAUGGAAUAUAGUUUCAGUGGCAGGGUUUUCUUCAUUUAAAGUAAACAGGAAGGAAGAGACGGACGCAGCUUCCCUUUGUGAAGAUGAAACAACACACCUGACAUGUUUCAUACUCCCAGGUGUCAGGUUACAGCGUGUGAACCUGUUCUACAUUUAAAUGAUGUCAUGUCUCAAGCUCAAGAAAUGUGUGAAACAUGUCUGUCACGUUCUGUUUUUUAACCGUGCUCAUCUGUAACGCAACUUCCUGCACAUGUUGAGAGUAGGUUAGAGUUAAUGGUCGAUUACAGAGUUAAUUAAAAUAUUGUAAUGUA